This is a long non-coding RNA of Oreochromis aureus, 500 nucleotides long. The record is from Ensembl. NCBI's taxonomy places the organism in Eukaryota, Metazoa, Chordata, Actinopteri, Cichliformes, Cichlidae.
CCCGUCAAUCUGGCCCCCCCAGGGGAGUUUUUCCUCGUCUUCAUAGAGAGCUUGGGCUGGGUCAGGAGCUCCAUCAAAACUGUCUUUAGUUGAUUAUUUUAAGAUUGUAAGACCAGAAUGACAAAAAGAAAGGCCAGUCCUGAAAAGAAGACCCCCAUAAAAAGAAGGAGGGUCAGUGAGCAGGCUGGUCCUUCCACCAGCUCAGAUGCUCAUGUGAUCAAAGGAGUCAAGCGCAAGGUCCAACAAGAUGAAGCGGGGACAACCAAUACAGCAAAAAAGUGUAAACUUCUUGACCAUAUGAGCGGUGACAAGGGGCAAGCAUCUUCCUGGUUGGACACUGGUAAAGACUGCAGCAUAGACAUUUCAGAGAGCUGCAGUAAAAACCAAAACGCUGGCAAAAGGAAAGCUGCGGGAGACAGGAGGGACCCACCUAAGAAGAAGAACGUGGACCAGGACAAAACCAAAAAUGUUGCCAAAAAGUCAGUGGCCGAACAGAAACG